GUAAUUUGCAAACCACUAAUUAUCACAUCAUUGAUGAUGACACGGUAAAUUUGCCAACCACUGAUUGUCACACCAUUGAUGAUGACAUAGUAAAUUUGCAAACCACUGAUAGACACAUCAUUGAUUGUGACAUGGUAAAUAUACACCCCAUUUAUGGUGACAUUAUGAAUUGAAAACCAAUGAUGGUGACACCUAAACAUCAGACAUCAUCGAUGAUUUAAUCAAAAAUUAAAAUACAAC
Molecule: long non-coding RNA, 240 nt
Filed under: Mytilus galloprovincialis (Mediterranean mussel)
Lineage: Eukaryota; Metazoa; Mollusca; Bivalvia; Mytilida; Mytilidae
Source: RNAcentral